This 492-nucleotide unclassified non-coding RNA is filed under the name Hevea brasiliensis (rubber tree). Lineage: Eukaryota; Viridiplantae; Streptophyta; Magnoliopsida; Malpighiales; Euphorbiaceae. The record is from RNAcentral.
GGAUUUUGAACUGGUGUGAGCUCAAAGCCCCAUUAAAGGGGGAAAAUAAUUGCCCAUCAACUUAUGGAAUGAAAACAGGAUUUGCGUCAUCAAACAUCAGGUGGAUUUGAGAACUAAACCAUCCUUGUUAUCAACAGGAGGAUAAAUGGCAAGGGUUCCCAGGACAACCUCAAAUGCUGAACCAUUAGGAUUGAUUACAAGAGUCAAAAUGGUUACGCCAGAAUGGAAACAGGCAAUCAUUUAACUACCUCAAACUUCAUACAUGUCGCUUAAAUGCAAGCCCCUCAAAAGUUCUCACACCACAUGCUGUUUUCAUUUUGAAGAGUUAAAACAAAUAACAAAGGAAGAACAAAACCUCAACAAGCAUUAGAACCCAGGCACUGAGAAAUGGUUUCACAAAUUUCAUAGCAAUAACAAGCACUAAGAAAUACAUACCAUCUCACAUUACACUCAUUUGCAUAAAGCAGUGGAUCAUAAUACUAGAUAUUAUAC